This 482-nucleotide ribosomal RNA is filed under the name uncultured bacterium. Its description in RNAcentral is "bacterial SSU rRNA". It matches the Rfam family "Bacterial small subunit ribosomal RNA", at positions 28 to 526 of the family's 1533-position model. The record is from RNAcentral.
GACGAACGCUGGCGGCGUGCUUAACACAUGCAAGUCGAACGAUGAAGCCUUUCGGGGUGGAUUAGUGGCGAACGGGUGAGUAACACGUGGGCAAUCUGCCCUGCACUCUGGGACAAGCCCUGGAAACGGGGUCUAAUACCGGAUACGACGUACUUCCGCAUGGGAUGUGCGUGGAAAGCUCCGGCGGUGCAGGAUGAGCCCGCGGCCUAUCAGCUUGUUGGUGGGGUGAUGGCCUACCAAGGCGACGACGGGUAGCCGGCCUGAGAGGGCGACCGGCCACACUGGGACUGAGACACGGCCCAGACUCCUACGGGAGGCAGCAGUGGGGAAUAUUGCACAAUGGGCGAAAGCCUGAUGCAGCGACGCCGCGUGAGGGAUGACGGCCUUCGGGUUGUAAACCUCUUUCAGCAGGGAAGAAGCGAAAGUGACGGUACCUGCAGAAGAAGCGCCGGCUAACUACGUGCCAGCAGCCGCCGUAACAC